Molecule: long non-coding RNA, 355 nt
Organism: Anolis carolinensis (green anole)
Lineage: Eukaryota; Metazoa; Chordata; Lepidosauria; Squamata; Anolidae
Exons: 2
Source: RefSeq, a predicted model, not a curated record
ACCAAAAGCAAAAUUUCUGUGAGAAUACUGGUAGAGUAGCAAGCCAGAUGAUAAUCUUUCUCCACCAAGAAAAAAAGUUUCUCUCUCCUCCAUGUCUUGCGAGCAAGGCUUUCUAUCUGUUCAAGACAUUUCUGUAUAAGAACAAAAUACUUAUAAGCUGCUGGAGUGUGAAGCAGAAAAAACGGUUCACUGCUUAACAAAACAUGAGAAUCCAAACUUCACUAUAAAUCAAAUGAUUUCUGCUCUCCUGUAACAAAAGGUCCUGCAAGGUACAUCACAGGCUUGCAGUGUGCCAUCAUCUCCAGUAAUAAUAAAUGCUAGCUGAUUGGCUGGAAAAUAUAGAAUAUGAACCAAC